Molecule: microRNA, 21 nt
Filed under: Ephydatia muelleri
Lineage: Eukaryota; Metazoa; Porifera; Demospongiae; Spongillida; Spongillidae
Description: Emu-Mir-2017-P1_3p (mature (guide))
Source: RNAcentral
ACCUGUGCACCUGUGUGCCCA